GGUUCCAUGGUGUAAUGAUUAGUACUCUGGAUUUUGAAUCCAGCGUUCGGAGUUCAAAUAGCGGUGGAACCU
Molecule: non-coding RNA, 72 nt
Organism: Caerostris darwini
Lineage: Eukaryota; Metazoa; Arthropoda; Arachnida; Araneae; Araneidae
Source: the annotation of a GenBank genome assembly